CAGCUCGGCGGUUUAGACUCC
RNAcentral lists this unclassified non-coding RNA (21 nucleotides) under Chlamydomonas reinhardtii. RNAcentral's name for it is "small RNA Cre_0933". Lineage: Eukaryota; Viridiplantae; Chlorophyta; Chlorophyceae; Chlamydomonadales; Chlamydomonadaceae. The record is from RNAcentral.